RNAcentral lists this ribosomal RNA (529 nucleotides) under Penicillium chrysogenum. Its description in RNAcentral is "eukaryotic LSU rRNA". The stretch from base 151 to 303 matches the Rfam family "5.8S ribosomal RNA". The record is from RNAcentral. Lineage: Eukaryota; Fungi; Ascomycota; Eurotiomycetes; Eurotiales; Aspergillaceae.
CUCCCACCCGUGUUUAUUUUACCUUGUUGCUUCGGCGGGCCCGCCUUAACUGGCCGCCGGGGGGCUUACGCCCCCGGGCCCGCGCCCGCCGAAGACACCCUCGAACUCUGUCUGAAGAUUGUAGUCUGAGUGAAAAUAUAAAUUAUUUAAAACUUUCAACAACGGAUCUCUUGGUUCCGGCAUCGAUGAAGAACGCAGCGAAAUGCGAUACGUAAUGUGAAUUGCAAAUUCAGUGAAUCAUCGAGUCUUUGAACGCACAUUGCGCCCCCUGGUAUUCCGGGGGGCAUGCCUGUCCGAGCGUCAUUGCUGCCCUCAAGCACGGCUUGUGUGUUGGGCCCCGUCCUCCGAUCCCGGGGGACGGGCCCGAAAGGCAGCGGCGGCACCGCGUCCGGUCCUCGAGCGUAUGGGGCUUUGUCACCCGCUCUGUAGGCCCGGCCGGCGCUUGCCGAUCAACCCAAAUUUUUAUCCAGGUUGACCUCGGAUCAGGUAGGGAUACCCGCUGAACUUAAGCAUAUCAAUAAGCGGAGGA